Molecule: long non-coding RNA, 3548 nt
Organism: Chinchilla lanigera (long-tailed chinchilla)
Lineage: Eukaryota; Metazoa; Chordata; Mammalia; Rodentia; Chinchillidae
Source: Ensembl
CCCAGAUGGUGAGCAGUGCCUGGGGCUCCGCAUCCUUCCUCCCUGCCAAGGCCUCUGUGUGGACGCGUGGCUGCGCGGGCUGCCGGGCCACCUCAGGUGUCUCCGGUGACCUCCGUGCACCUGCUCCUUUCUUUUCCAUCUGCUGCCGGGAGGCCUCAGACUUCCAGGAAGAGGUCACUGACGUGUGCUUUGAUUUUUAUGGCCAGAUCCACAGGAAUGAUUACCGUUCGUUUCAUCUUCUCCUGAGAAGAGGCUUUGUGUGUUUGGAAAAGAACAGUGUGUCGGCAAGGUGGGGCUCGCUGAAUCCGAGGAACGCGGUGGCCACGCCUGUCCAGCCCUGCCGUCCUGGAGGUGGGCUGGGCCCUCCUCUCCCAGCUUGUUUCUCCCAUGCUGCGCACACGUGCGCAUGCGUGCACACUCUCUCUCACACCCCCUUGCCCCUCCCCUUCAGAGCAUCCUGCCUCGGUCGUGACCCACGGCCCUGCGGCUCUGGGCCUUGGGCACAGCCAGUGCUCAGAUGCAGCGACCCUGAGCAGAGGGCAGCCAGGAGCGAGGGCGCAGAGAACAUGGGCAACGCUGUCCUGCGGGCGCUCAGUGAGUCACCAGGUGUCUCUGGAUCAGAACACCGCAGCUGCAGGGGAGAGGCAGUGAGCCCCAGUUCUGAGGAAGCCCAAGUGCACAGCUCCAGGAGUGGUGAGUCAGCAGUGAAGGACCAGCUGAGAAGGCAGGUGUGCGGGACAGCCCACUCCACACCGGCACAUCCUGCCGUCACCCUGACCCGGUCACCUCCCGACAUCAGCGGCAGAGACAAGCUGCAGGUAAAGAACCUGGGGUGAGCUUCCAGACUCAGGGACCCCAGGGAGAGCCAGGGCUGGGCCUGUGGGCAGUGGGACAGGGAGGGGGACCUGCGGCCACGGGAGGGGCUGGGUCACCCCAAGGCCACGCCGUGCACACGCAGCAGCCUCUUCCGGUGCUCUCGGUGGGAGCACUGUGUGUGCAGAAGUGCGGGGAACGGGCUCCUGCAGGCUGGAGCAGGAAGAUUCGCUUGGGGAGCCUCAGAGUCUGCCCUGUUCGGACCUCAGAAGCAGCCCAGAGUCGCAGCCGGGGGAGGUGCAGUGGGCCGCAGGCUUCAGGAACGGCAAACAGUCGUCAGGGCCUGGAGCGCGGCCUCAAAGCGUGGGUCCAGCAGGAGAAGCCACAAACGAGCCCUGGGGUUGGGGGCCAGGGGAGCUAAGGCCUCGGGCAGCGACGCAUCAGCCCCUGUUUCAGGGAGGGAGGUGUCUCCUCCGGGGAUAACACGAGGCGGCAUGAGGAGCUGGGCCCGAGCACGUGACCGGAGGAGGCGGGGAGAGCCGAAGGAGCUCAGGGAGGGAGCGCGCCCCCCACGCAGCCCCCUGCCCCUUCCUUGUGUUUCCGAUCACAGCUGCGGGGGCUGCCGGGCCCUCCCAAGCCCGAGUGAGUGGCCCCUGCCUCCCGGGGCCUCCCGGGGCCUCCCGGGGCCUGCAGCCUUCGCACGCAGUGUGCACGGCGACCCUGGAGGCCACAGAGCAGGCGGGCCGCGCCCACGCCGGUCCCUGCACCCAGCCAGACGCAGGAUAAGAAGUCACACGGGGAGCCGGCCGCUCUGAGUCACAUCCUCUCCCCUGUGAUAAGGAGUUCCUCCUUCCAGGGGCCCUGGGCCGGGCCUUGGAAGCAGCAACGGCCUUCAGCAGGCUUGGAGGGCGCUGGGCUGCGUGAGCUGCUGACCACAUCCUCCGAGGAGGGCAGGAAAGAGCCCUGUUACCUCCCGUCCUCUGCUGUCCUCUGAGGAUGGACUCCCAGGAGCGUAUCUCCCACGGUCCUCGGCUGGCAAGGCCAGGGAGGGUCAAGAAGCAGCAGGAGGGGGUGGGGCCUGUCCCCUGCCCCCCUCAGUGACACCACCCCGCCGUGUACCACCUGUCACCGGAGCACUGCCAAGGGCUUCAGCUUCUGCACCUGAACUCCGAGGAGUCCCGAGUGUUAAAAGGGCUUUGUGUCAGGGACGUUUCCCUUACACAGCCGACGUGCGCCGGAGAUGCAGCGGUCUGCCACACCGACUCUCGCUGCCUUGGCGGGAGUGCCUGUCGCCUGCCCGGAGCCUGUGCUGUCACUGGGCCCCCGGGCGAGGCGCUGUGUGGGCUCACUCUCAGCGCUGCGCCUCCGUCCUAGGCACAGUUAAAAUCCGUAACCAAGCAGAGUGUGAAUAGAGGCAGCCGAGGAGGCUCACAGGGCCUGGUGCAGUCAGGCUCGGCUCGGCUCCCCUGCGUGGGGAGGGCUGGGAGAACCCAGGGGCCAAGAGCCUGCAGCAGAGAGGCAGAACCGUCAGAACCCAGUCUCCACCGGCCUCACCGGGCUGCGCCUCCCCAGGACUAAAGCGGCCCCAGCGAGCCUGGAUGUCCCCAGAGAGCUGGCUCCCUCUGCCCCGUCUUAGCGUGAGGUGGACAUCAGGCCAAAGAAAGGAAAGGAGAAUGGGCUUAGGCUUGAGUCCACCAUCGCCCCACCAGCUCUGGGCCGGUGGGAAAGCCGGGAGCCACGCUCAGGGGCCGGGGGAGAGGGAGGUACAUGAGCCCAUGGCUCCCGCUCUGCCGGUCAGGGAUGUGCGGCAGCUCUCCGGAGAGGCCUUUCUGCCUUACAAAAGCGGGGGAAAACUCAGUGAGGAGUUUUCCCAAUGAGCUGAUCUUAGUGACCGUUUGACAUCUGUUCCCGUCUUCUGACAAGGUUGACAGUGCUUUCAAGACGGAGAGGGCUGGGGCAGCACUCACAGGGACAGCACCUGCCCAGCCUGUGUGAGAGAUGAGAGAGAGCGGGGGAGAGAGACAGAGACACAGAGAGACGGACAGAGAGCGAGAGAGACAGAGACAGAGACAGAGAACACCGAGCGGCAGCCCCAGCUUGAGGCCGGGGUGUGAGGUUCUUCCCAUCUCUUAGGGCUCAGAGGUUGGUUGCGUCUCCUCAGCUCUGUGUUGGGGACCCUCGUCAACUUUACCCCUUCCCAGUCAGUCCUCAGCUUCCCCUCCUAACUCAGAACAGGUGUGUACUUGAGACGUCGUACAUGAGAACGAUGACCCGGCACUGACCCAGUGCCCGACUGUGUGUCCUCAGCAUUUCUGAGAUGGAUCAUUAUGAGCGUGAGGGUGUGUGUGUGUGUGCGCGCGCGCGCACCUGUGUGGUGCGGGGGGGGGUGGAGCCCCAAGCCUCCUCACACAUGCUAGGCAAGUGCUUUUCCACUGAGUUAUACCCCCGGCCUUUCUUUAUUUUUAUUUUGAGGCAGAGUCUUGCUAAGUUUCAGGGUUGGCCUGGAACUCACAAUUUUCCUGCCUCAGCCCCCUGAGUAGCUGGAUUACAGGUGUGCACGGCCUGCUGGCUUUGUGCAUCUGCCUUGGUAUUCUUGUGUGUUCCCCUCUGGCAGUCACAGCCUCUGUCCUUCACUGCCCCAUCAAACUCUAAAAAUGGACUCAUGCUGUGCACAACCGUGGAAAUAACUAACUUUCUUCCUUUUUCUCUUUUUCUUUCUCUCUUUUUCUUUCUCU